This 480-nucleotide ribosomal RNA is filed under the name uncultured bacterium. Its description in RNAcentral is "bacterial SSU rRNA". It matches the Rfam family "Bacterial small subunit ribosomal RNA", at positions 20 to 518 of the family's 1533-position model. The record is from RNAcentral.
UGGCUCAGGACGAACGCUGGCGGCGUGCUUCAUACAUGCAAGUCGAACGAUAAGGCACCUUCGGGUGUACAUAAGUGGCGGACGGGUGAGUAAUAGUGUAGAGAAUCUGCCCUAGAGAGUGGGACAACAGUUGGAAACGACUGCUAAUACCGCAUAUGAGCGUACCUGAAAUGGUAUUCUUGAAAAACUCCGGUGCUCUGGGAUGAGUCCGCAUCUGAUUAGCUAGUUGGGGGUGUAAUGGACCACCAAGGCGACGAUCAGUAGCUGGUUUGAGAGGAUGAUCAGCCACAAUGGGACUGAGACACGGCCCAUACUCCUACGGGAGGCAGCAGUAGGGAAUUUUGCGCAAUGGGGGAAACCCUGACGCCAGCAACGCCGCGUGACCGAUGAAGCCCUUCGGGGUGUAAAGGUCUGUCAGUGGGGACGAAUAUUGACGGUACCCACAGAGGAAGCAUCGGCUAACUCCGUGCCAGCCGCAGC